Molecule: long non-coding RNA, 496 nt
Organism: Oncorhynchus tshawytscha (Chinook salmon)
Lineage: Eukaryota; Metazoa; Chordata; Actinopteri; Salmoniformes; Salmonidae
Source: Ensembl
GUGUAGAUGAGGCUGGGUCUAGUCAUGUUAUAGAUGGUGGUGCAGAUGAGGCUGGGUCGAGUCAUGUUAUAGAUGGUGGUAGAUUAGAUGAGGCUGUGUCUAGUCAUGUUAUAGAUGGUGGUGUAGAUGAGGCUAGGUCUAGUCAUGUUAUGGUUGGUGGUGUAGAUGAGGCUGGGUCUCAUCAGGUUAUAGAUGGUGGUGUAGAUGAGCUGGGUCUAGUCAGGUUAUAGAUGGUGGUGUAGAUGAGGCUGUGUCUAGUCAUACUAUAGUUGGUGGUGUAGAUGAGGCUGGUUCUAGUCAUGUUAUAGAUGGUGGUGUAGAUGAGGCUAGGUCUAGUCAUGUUAUGGUUGGUGGUGUAGAUGAGGCUGGGUCUCGUCAGGUUAUAGAUGGUGGUGUAGAUGAGUCUGGGUCUAGUCAGGUUAUAGAUGGAGGUGUAGAUGAGGCUGGUUCUAGUCAUGUUAUAGAUUGGGGUGUAGAUGAGGCUGGGUCUAGUCAU